This 988-nucleotide ribosomal RNA is filed under the name Protonemura lateralis. RNAcentral's name for it is "partial large subunit ribosomal RNA". Lineage: Eukaryota; Metazoa; Arthropoda; Insecta; Plecoptera; Nemouridae. The record is from RNAcentral.
GUGUACCGGAAGGUGCACCUGGAAAGUCAGGAUAGAGCUUGAUUAGUUAAGCAUUUCAUUUACACUGAAAAUACACUGUGCAAUUCAGUUUAUUCUGAUAAAUUUUAACUUACUUUAGUUGUUAGUUGUUAAAAGUUUUUUUAAUUAAAUUAUUUUUAAUAGGUUAUGUUUGUGUAUAGAAUAUAGAUAAAAUUAUUUAAGUGGUAGGUUAAUUGUAUCGUGAGAGGUUGAUUGAAAUAGUUUGAAAAUAUAUUUUUAUAAAAGUAGAUUAAUGAUUGUACCUUGUGUAUCAGGGUUUAUUAAAAAAAUUGCAAAUAUUUGUAUUUUCCCGAUUUGAAGAGAGCUAAAUAAAUGUGUUAGUUAAUGUGGAAUAAUUAUUAAUAACAUUUAUUUAGUAAUGAAACGUUAUCCGUUCUUUAAGAUAUCUGGUUUUCCGAGAAAUGAAUUUAAUUCAGGUUUAAAAAAGUGUAAUUUAAUUUAUUAAAUAAAUCAUUUUUUUAAGCUAAUGCCCUGGGGGAUAAGCUUUAGGGUAGGUUUUAUAAUUAGUGAAAUUUUAAAAGAUUUAGUAGGCUUAGAAUUAGCCAUCUAUUAAAGGAUGUUAUAAUUUAAUUUUUUGUAAGUUUAAUUUUCUAAGAAUUUAAGUUUUAUAUCGGAGCAAUGUAACUAAUUUUUAGUUACUUGAGAUAAUGAUAAAAUUAGUAUAAAAAUUGUUUAAAUUAUUAAAAAAAAUGUGAGGUUACAUUAAGGAAUUAGGCAAAUUAGUACUCGCCUGUUUAACAAAAACAUGUCUUCUUGAUUAUAAUUUGAAGUCUGACCUGCCCACUGAAUUUUAUAUUUGAAGGGCCGCGGUAUUUUGACCGUGCAAAGGUAGCAUAAUCAUUAGUCUUUUAAUUGAAGGCUAGAAUGAAUGGUUGGACGAGGUACUGACUGUCUCGGUGUGAUUGAUAUUAGAAUUUAACUUUUAAGUUAAAAGGCUUAAUAUAUUUAA